AGGUCAUCUGAAGACUGAAUAUUCACAGAAACAAAAAAGCAAAGAAAAGUUUCCUGCCUGCUGACUUUACCUGCUGACAGAUUCCAAGGAUGAUGAUUGUACACUGCCUUCCAGAGAAUCCUGCAAGGUAUUCAAAGCCUACGGAUGCUGCUGUAAAUCGGCAGCAAACAGGAGUACCAGGACACCUGCCAGUCAGGAUCAGCAUGAGAGGAUCAGUUAUUGACUCCAAUGAAACCAGGAUUUUCAUCUACUGUCCCAAAGUUUAAAAACCAUUCAGAGAGUUCUUCUAAGUGUGGUAAAUGAAACCUCCAGAAAGGCAGAGGGGCUCUGUAUGUGCUCAGCUUGAUUGACACCAGUACACCCACUGGCCUUCAGCAAUUACAGCUCAAAAGGAAACCAGCACAACUGGGAGCAGAUGGAAUGUUCUGCUUAUGGAAAACUGCUCCAGAAACGCAAACCUUGCACCUGAGAGUGCAGCAGCCUCACCUGCAGCCACCAGGAGGAAAUUCCUGCUGCACAUGGAGCUGCACAGCUGCCUGCAGGAGGGAGGUGAGUAAUUAAUUACCUGUUCCACUGGGGGCUGACCCACAGCUCAUUGUGGUCCUUCCACCCAAAUGGGCUUUGGGGCUUGCCCAGGUGCCUCCAUAAAUGCUGAAACUGCUCCUAAUUUGCUGCCUUCCCCAUCCCAUCGGCGGAGUCACACAAUUCCUUAAGCACUGGAUAAGCACAGAUAAUGUCUCCACACUAUUUCAGCUGAUAAUCACAAUUAAGAAUAAUUUUAGAACUCCUUUUUCCUGGUCCCUUUAAUAUAGUAGCAUCCAAAUGAUUAGCUUGUCAUCAUUUGGAUAUGCAUUCAAGUUAGUUUGUCUUUUUCCUGUGUAACUUCUUUUGGCAUCCACAAAUGAAAACUUCAAAGU
Molecule: non-coding RNA, 917 nt
Organism: Cyanistes caeruleus (blue tit)
Lineage: Eukaryota; Metazoa; Chordata; Aves; Passeriformes; Paridae
Source: RefSeq, a predicted model, not a curated record